Molecule: ribosomal RNA, 482 nt
Filed under: uncultured bacterium
Lineage: Bacteria
Description: partial 16S ribosomal RNA
Rfam family: Bacterial small subunit ribosomal RNA
Source: RNAcentral
AUUGAACGCUGGCGGCAUGCUUUACACAUGCAAGUCGAACGGUAACAGGCCGCAAGGUGCUGACGAGUGGCGAACGGGUGAGUAAUGCAUCGGAACGUGCCCAGUCGUGGGGGAUAACUACUCGAAAGAGUAGCUAAUACUGCAUACGAUCUAUGGAUGAAAGCGGGGGACCGUAAGGCCUCGCGCGAUUGGAGCGGCCGAUGUCAGAUUAGGUAGUUGGUGGGGUAAAGGCUCACCAAGCCAACGAUCUGUAGCUGGUCUGAGAGGACGACCAGCCACACUGGGACUGAGACACGGCCCAGACUCCUACGGGAGGCAGCAGUGGGGAAUUUUGGACAAUGGGCGCAAGCCUGAUCCAGCAAUGCCGCGUGCAGGAAGAAGGCCUUCGGGUUGUAAACUGCUUUUGUACGGAACGAAACGGCUCUGGUUAAUACCCGGGGCUAAUGACGGUACCGUAAGAAUAAGCACCGGCUAACUACGUG